This 744-nucleotide long non-coding RNA is filed under the name Elaeis guineensis (African oil palm). Its description in RNAcentral is "long non-coding RNA (EGUI_LNC051270)". The record is from RNAcentral. Lineage: Eukaryota; Viridiplantae; Streptophyta; Magnoliopsida; Arecales; Arecaceae.
UAAGGUGGAAUAUAUAUGGAGAUUGUGAGUAGAUCAAUAUAGAAUCGAUCACUCUUGAUAAUAGGAGAUCACAUUCUACUUACUCUAAUCGAUUGAUGAUUUAGAAAGUCUUUGAUCAAAGUGUGAUGAAAAUUAGAAAGAGUUUCUAAUAUUUCAUUAAUCAAAUCAUCAUUAAAGAUUAAGAAAAAUAUGAAUAUAAUAUUAGAUUUGACUGUUAGAAAGUCAGAUAGGGUGCAUAUGUAGAUUUCAAAAAUCUUUUUGAUCGUAGUGGAAAAACAACCAGAUUAAACCCUUUAACCUCACAUGCAAUAGAUCUCAUCUAAUCCUACCCAAGACUCAAAAGAAAAGACAUACAUAUAAUUUGAAAAUAAAAUAAGUAUGAUAUCAAAUCUCAAUACCUUAGCGUGGAUAGAAAUUCACCGCUACUGAUGAUCUCUGGUAUGAAGUCCUCGAGCCACACACGUGUUCGACCUUUACAGAUAUCCAUCAGGAUCAAUCUUGAAUCGAUCUUCUCAUAGUAAAUCUUUCUUCUCUAAGUAGGAUCUUUGCCCUUUAGAAUCUUGAUCAACAUUUUGAUCAAGACUACAGAAUCAACUCUUUGAUCUGUAGCCUUUUCUCUUUAUUCCUUGCUGUAGAUGAAUAACUCCUCAACUCUUGGCAUGUAAAAAGGUCGCAUUCCCAACCUUUGGGCAUGGGAAAGAGAAGAGAGAGAGGGUGAGUUGUGGAGAAGGGAGAGAGGGAGAG